This is a long non-coding RNA of Homo sapiens (human), 5013 nucleotides long. NCBI's taxonomy places the organism in Eukaryota, Metazoa, Chordata, Mammalia, Primates, Hominidae. The record is from Ensembl.
GGGCGGCUUGCAAGGCGGUGAGCUCCCCGCCACUGGAAGCUGGAAGCUACAGGGAAGCUUCCGCGGAGGACUGGCGAUGGCUUCUUUGCUCCAACAGCUGCUCCUUGUGCCAGGCUCAGGCUGAGUUACAGCUAGAGGUGCAGUGGCUACAAGAGUUUCUGCUCACGGUCAUGGAAGAGAAAGAAAAUGAACAAGCACCCCAGCCUGAAACUCACCCCUUGACAAGCACCCUGCAAGCUACAGUGAUUCUGAAUCCCAGAAGUGAUGGGCUGUCUUGGAGAAUCCCAGGGGCUGUCCUGUGCUCCAGGCCUGUCUCAGGACUCCUUGGGUGGACGCAAUCUCCUCUAGUCCCCUCUAAAGACUUCUUCAUCAUUACGAUGGAAAACAUUGGCUGUGACGUGGGUUGUGCAAUGAAGCUUCCAACCCAGGAUCUGUUUCUGAAUGGCUGUCAUGGAGCAGAGAGCAGAGGCUCUGCAUGGCCCCAACACUUGUCCCUCCUCCAAGCUCCGACAUUAAGAAACAUGCCUGCUUCCUCGUGGAGGAGGGAAGCCUGGUCUAAGGAUGAAGGGCAAGCUGCCAGGCACCCGAGGCUCCUUCAUGCUUGCAGCUCAAGCCUCCAGGGGCCAAAGAGAAGUCCUCAGGAGGCUGUUGGUGCAGUCCACUUAGAGCAAAGCACAUGGCCGCUGGAGGAUGGGGGCACAGAGCUGGCAAGAGUGAUCCACAUGAACCUGGACAGGACCUUAACAGUGUCUGCUGAGGCCCUUGCCCCAGCUGGCCCUGAAGUCGAAGUCUGGUUUGCUCUGUUUUGUUGGUCUGUGCAGUGGAGAGGAAGGUGCCACCCCAGCUCUAGUUCUCCACGUCACUUAAGAGGUAUGGGAUUUCAGCAAGGACUGAACAAUGCUGGGCCUCAGCUUUCUCCUUCAUCCUGUGAAGACCUUCAAUCUUAUCUACCUUGGGGGAUGAUACUGUGGUUAUCAAAUGUCAGAGGACCUUGAAGGAUGGAAAACACGUGUAUGUGACUCAUCAGGCUGUGCCAUUGCAAGGUGAUGCUGAUGUCAGGAUAUUUUUGUCUGCAGGAGAAUCCACUACUGUAUGGAGCUUGUCCUGGAAAGCCAUUGCACCCCACCCCACCACCCCCACCAUCUCUCAGAAGAGGUCACAAAGAGCAUUUUGUUACAACAUAACCUUACUCAAGAAAUCACUCAAAAAAUGCACAUAGGAACCACUGAAACAUUUCCUGAAUUUAAAAGAAUGACUCAGCAGAGCAUUCGUUUGUGAUAGAACUGCUUCUUGAAUUUCUCAAAACUGGUGAUGUUCACAAAGGCCAAAAUGUGUGAGCAUUCUGCCAAAACCAGGCCAAAGUUUGCUGCUGUGCUUUGUAUUUAAAAAGAAUAAGAAAAUGUAUAGUUCAAAAAAUAAAAUUCUAAGCCCACCAACUGACUAAACAGAUCCCCUCUUGGCCAAGGGGACCCCAGAGUAAUCAGGAACAUUGAGUUCUCGGCCAUGAUGGGAUGGGGAGCAUCAGACAAGUCUCGUUAUUCCCUUCCCUUGCUAACCACCACUAGGCUUUCUUUCCUAAGGGCUAAACACAAACCUACCCUUCCAACACAGUCCACUGCUGUGAUCAACCCACUGCUUGACGCUGCUCCUCGUUUUUGCCUGAUAAGAGACCACUGACCAUGGGGUGGCUCUGCCUAGUCCACGGAGGAUGCACAGUGAGGGUUUUGGUGUCCUCUGCUUUACCUUUUGACAUCAGAGGGCCAAAAGUUCUACCCUUGGGUCAUGCUAAAACCACCAUUUUUGGUACAGGGGGCCCAUGAAGGGGCAUGCAGCUCACUUGUGCAUGUGCAUGUUUCACCUCUCAUAAAUAUUCAUGACUCCUCCUGCAGCUUAUUGAAUAUGUAUAUUCAGCCAUCCAACUCAGCACAAAUUCCUGUUCCCUUUGCCCCUCCCUGAAAGUGUCUGUUUCUGGCUUCUCAUCAGAGGCUACGCUUCCCAGCCGGUCAGAGUGGCCACCCUGCAGGGUGCAACCCUUUAUGAAAAACAAAGUUCUUCUUUCCAAAAGGAAAAAAUAAAGAAAGAAAAUUUGUAGUUUAACAAAGACAAUUAGAUAAAGUUAACCCACUGGAGAUCCCCGUCCUGCAGGCCUUGGUGCUGAUUGAUCUCCUGCCCAGGACAUGGCCACACGGGGGCUAGUGGGUUGGUGACCUGAGGAGCACUCCUGAGUGACCUCGGAGUUCAGGGCUGCCUCCAAGAAUGGCUGGUGCAUAAAGACUACUCAGACCAAAGCUGAGCACUCCAAAGUAUGAAUAAUGAAGGACAUUUGCUGGCUCAGUGGUGAGAACCUGGGGUGUUUAGGCUGUCACUGCCAAUAGUCCACUAUUGGCUGGGAUCAGAAGAGCAGAAGGCCACCAUUUUACUGAUGGGACCAAGUGAAUCCCAGGGUCUGGUGCAACCUGGAGUGGAAGGUGCAGAGAUGGGCAGCAGGUCCCCCCGAUGCAACCCUUCUGCAUGUUGACAACAAUAUAAAAAGGGAAUACCUGCAUUUCUAUUUUGCUCUUCAGAUUGGAGACCUGGUUGUAUUACACUGCAGAUUUACUCUAGCCAGUCCUCAGAUAUUGCCUACUACUUAAAGUGAAUUGUUACCAAAAUGUUCAGAGAAAACCUUAGAUUAAGCGUAUUGACUAUGUUUCUUCUUUAAGUCAUAGUUAAGGGCAAUAACAACAACAGAGCAGCUGAGUAGAUAUUUUCUGCUCAUCAUUAAUAAUAACCCUUCGGCUGAUGGAUGGAUGGCCCUCCCGGUGAUGAAGAGCUGGCAGCACUCACUCUGUGGCGGGAUCUGUUCCUGGGAGGGCCUGUAAGAUAUUUGAUUUGAGAGAUGCCUGGCUGCUGAUGGAUUAGGAGGGCCUGGUAGAAACACAGUGGCAUGAACACCAGGACCAUAAAAAGAGAAGAAGAGUACAAUUAUCUUGUAUGUUCCCUUCCUUCUCUCACUCCCGGUAGAACCAGAGAAGGGCAAGCCGAGAAGCAUGGAGGUCAUUCCACCAGCCUGUGGACUCCUGGCCCAUCCAGUCACUAAAGCUAUGGAGGAGAAGGCAGAGAGACAUGGACCUGGGGGAAAGAGGAGGCUCCCUGUACCUAUCAGCUGUAGGGAAGAAGACUCUGCUCCACACAGUCACUUGGGAUUGAAGCUGAUGGAGGCUCCACCAUCUCAUAGCUACUUCAUCUGGAACCAGCAGCCUCCUCAGCAGAAGGAGGGAGCAGGAAGGGUGUCCAGGGUGUUUUCACUCGAUCAACCCGGAAUGAGAGGUAGCACUUUGCUCACAUUUCACUGGCCAGAAUUAGGAAUGUGACCUCAUCUAACUGCAAGGGAACUGGGAAGCAAUGUGCCCAGAACGAGUGGUCUGCACACAUUGCCCUGCUUCCUUACCUUUCAUUCAAUCUUCAAUUGCCCAGUCUAGGCUGUUCCCCACCACUUAUACCAGCACAGCCUCCUGUUUCCAAACCCAGUGGUCAUUCUCAUGUUUCCCAAUCUAUGGGCAGCACUAACCCCAGCUACUGCCCCCACCUCGAUCUAGCCUGGCCUCAGCUUCUGCAAUACCUCAUUCUGCUGGGCUUCCUUCCCUCUCUCUCUGCUCUGUGAGUUUCUCCUCACCCAACCUUCUCUAAAUGUUGGUGUCUUCUCAGAACAGAUCUUGGCCCUAUUGUUUUUUCUCUGUAUAUUCUCUUGCUAAAUAAUUACAUCAGUUCCAUAGCUUUAAAUGGCAUCUAUUUGCCAAUACAUCUUAAACACAGAUCGCAGGGCAGAGUUCUAUCCCUAGGAGACUCACACUUUUCUUCUCCACUGCUUGCUUGAGAGCCCACAGUGCAUCAUAUAAGGAACUUGAGUCUCCCACACUUGAGUCAAUCACGGCUUCUUGUCGUAAUUGGAAAUCUAGGAGUGGCACAUCCUUGACAGCUCCCUUUUGCUCAGCCCUGAAUAUAAACCAUCCAUAUGUCCUGUAGAUUUAACCUCCAAAAUACAUCAAAGGAGGUCUGGAAUCAACAAACCUCAGGCUGUCUCCACUGCCACUCGCUCAGUGCCAAUCUUGUCCUGGGCGGCACUCGGGGUUCCCCCACUCGCUCCUUGUCAAGUCAUUCUCCCAGCAGCACCAGAUUUGUCUAUAAAAUGCAAACCAAAUCAUGGUACUUCCUGCUUCAGUCCCUGAGCUGGCUUCUCACUCCUCGGGAAUCAAGUUCAAGUUCCCCUCCAUGGCCCACAUGACCAUGCAACCCAGGCCCUCCUCGGCCUCAUACAUGCUACCCUCCCCUCCACAGUGUGUUCCAGCCACACAGAGCUCCUUGUCCUGCUCUGCACCACUUGCCCCCUUUCCACACCGAGGCCUUGUCACACUCAGUGCUGUAUCGUUCACUAAAACGUCACCGCCUUGAUGAGCUGGAUGCACAGAGGCAUUGAGGAGAAGUGCAUCUGGCAUCUCCCCAAAACAAAAGACAUCACUGUAUCAAAAGAAUACCUGCCCUCAUAUGUUCUUCCCAGCACCAUUCACAAUAGCAAAGGCAUGAAAUCAGCCCGGGUGUCCACCAACCGAAGACGGGACGAAGAAAAUGUAGUGCAUAUGCACCAAGGAAUACUACUUGGCCAUAAAGAUGAAUGAAAUCAUGUCUUCUGCAGCAAUAAGGAUGGAACUGGAGGCCAUUCUCCUACGUGAAAUAACUCAGACACAAAAAGAUAAAUACCACACGUUCUCACUUAACAGUGGGAGCUAAAUAAUGUGUACACAUGGAUGUAGAGUGUGGAAUGAUAGACUCUGGAGACACCCAAGGGUGGGGAGGAUGGAGGGGGUGAGGCAGGAGAAGUUACUUCAUGGGUACCACAUACGUUAGUCCAGCAAUGGCUACACUAAAGGCUCAGAUGACACCACUACGUAUUAUAUCCAUGUAACAAAAUUACACUUGUGCCUCAUAAAUGUAUACAAGUUUGAAUAAAGGACAACUGUGAGUGUCUUCUGCACA